CUGCCGUGUUGCGUAGGGCGCCUGUGCUUGAGGUUGGGGGUUGCGUCGCUCUCUGGUAAAGGCGUGCAGGUGUUGGCCGCGGCCUCUGAGCUGGGAUGAGCCGUGCUCCCGGUGGAAGCAAGGGAGCCCAGCCGGAGCCAUGGCCAGUACAGUGGUAGCAGUUGGACUGACCAUUGCUGCUGCAGGAUUUGCAGGCCGUUACGUUUUGCAAGCCAUGAAGCAUAUGGAGCCUCAAGUAAAACAAGUUUUUCAAAGCCUACCAAAAUCUGCCUUCAGUGGUGGCUAUUAUAGAGGUGGGUUUGAACCCAAAAUGACAAAACGGGAAGCAGCAUUAAUACUAGGUGUAAGCCCUACUGCCAAUAAAGGGAAAAUAAGAGAUGCUCAUCGACGAAUUAUGCUUUUAAAUCAUCCUGACAAAGGUAAGUAGUCAUUAAAUUCUCGUUGAUGUUGUUGGUGUGACCAAUAGUUAUUAAUGGGAUAAUUUUAUCUCAAAUUCCUGGCUAUUAGAAAACACUUAAAUCUGUAAGUCCUGUCUCCUAGGCUGGAGCCAUAUAUUUUUGGUGUCUUAAAAGAAAUUAAGUGAAAACUUUACUUACAGAAUGAGCAGAUGUAAGUGCUACUAUUACUAUGUUUUGUGGGUUUUUCUGGCCUACAUUUAUUAUAAUUAAAACGUUAAAUUUCGUAAAACUAAAAUGUAAUUUUUCCUUAUCCAUUUUAGAUACCUUGAAACGGAGAUUACCUAGAUAGAAACUUAUGGGAUUUAUUUAUUCGUUUCUGAUAGACUUCUAUGCAGCCUUGGCUGUGUUGAAGGAAAGCAAGAAUUUCUUUGAAUACCAAAAAAUAGACCACAGAAUUCAUGUUCUAGUGUUUGUAUCCUUUUACUUAUACAGGAGAGGGCUUUCAUUAAUAAAAAGGGUUUUGACAUUUUAAA
RNAcentral lists this small RNA (931 nucleotides) under Pan troglodytes (chimpanzee). Its description in RNAcentral is "retained intron". The record is from RNAcentral. Lineage: Eukaryota; Metazoa; Chordata; Mammalia; Primates; Hominidae.